GCCUAACACAUGCAAGUCGAGCGGUAGAGAGAAGCUUGCUUCUCUUGAGAGCGGCGGACGGGUGAGUAAUGCCUAGGAAUCUGCCUGGUAGUGGGGGAUAACGUUCGGAAACGAACGCUAAUACCGCAUACGUCCUACGGGAGAAAGCAGGGGACCUUCGGGCCUUGCGCUAUCAGAUGAGCCUAGGUCGGAUUAGCUAGUUGGUGAGGUAAUGGCUCACCAAGGCGACGAUCCGUAACUGGUCUGAGAGGAUGAUCAGUCACACUGGAACUGAGACACGGUCCAGACUCCUACGGGAGGCAGCAGUGGGGAAUAUUGGACAAUGGGCGAAAGCCUGAUCCAGCCAUGCCGCGUGUGUGAAGAAGGUCUUCGGAUUGUAAAGCACUUUAAGUUGGGAGGAAGGGCAGUUACCUAAUACGUGAUUGUUUUGACGUUACCGACAGAAUAAGCACCGGCUAACUCUGUGCCAGCAGCCGCGGUAAUACAGAGGGUGCAAGCGUUAAUCGGAAUUACUGGGCGUAAAGCGCGCGUAGGUGGUUUGUUAAGUUGGAUGUGAAAUCCCCGGGCUCAACCUGGGAACUGCAUUCAAAACUGACUGACUAGAGUAUGGUAGAGGGUGGUGGAAUUUCCUGUGUAGCGGUGAAAUGCGUAGAUAUAGGAAGGAACACCAGUGGCGAAGGCGACCACCUGGACUAAUACUGACACUGAGGUGCGAAAGCGUGGGGAGCAAACAGGAUUAGAUACCCUGGUAGUCCACGCCGUAAACGAUGUCAACUAGCCGUUGGAAGCCUUGAGCUUUUAGUGGCGCAGCUAACGCAUUAAGUUGACCGCCUGGGGAGUACGGCCGCAAGGUUAA
This 856-nucleotide ribosomal RNA is filed under the name Pseudomonas extremorientalis. Its description in RNAcentral is "bacterial SSU rRNA". It matches the Rfam family "Bacterial small subunit ribosomal RNA", at positions 46 to 897 of the family's 1533-position model. The record is from RNAcentral. Lineage: Bacteria; Pseudomonadati; Pseudomonadota; Gammaproteobacteria; Pseudomonadales; Pseudomonadaceae.